Ribosomal RNA from Erinaceus europaeus (western European hedgehog), 119 nucleotides. The record is from Ensembl. Lineage: Eukaryota; Metazoa; Chordata; Mammalia; Eulipotyphla; Erinaceidae.
GUCUACAGCCAUACCACCCUGAACACACCCAAUCUCCUCUGAUCUCGGAAGCUAAGCAGGGUAGGGCCUGGUUAGUACUUGGAUGGGAGAAAAAGGCUCAUCUAUUAUUGCUGUCCACA